Molecule: RNA transcript, 4887 nt
Organism: Amaranthus tricolor (Joseph's coat)
Lineage: Eukaryota; Viridiplantae; Streptophyta; Magnoliopsida; Caryophyllales; Amaranthaceae
Gene name: ABC transporter C family member 3-like
Exons: 13
Source: RefSeq, a predicted model, not a curated record
AUAAUUAAAUAUAUAUUAAAAUUUAAAACCCUAUUCCCCUCCCUCACACUCACAGACUCACUUCCCUUACGCCUCAUUCCUCAGUCCACUGCCAUUCCUUCAUUCCUCACGACUCACGACUCACGACUCACAAGCACCCUCAGUCCCUCACUGCCAUUUCCAUUUCCCUCCCAGACUCGACAUGCACAAGCAUUCAAGCACCCUCACUGCCUGUCGACAGCCACCGGAGGCGGCCACCGCUUACUCCUCCUCUGUCCUUACACGCGGCUGGCGAAUUUGAGGACACCUGCUGAAAGAGUCAAAGCUAAGAUGAAACUUCAACUUUCACAAACAGGAUCCUUGAAAAUUGAGAGUCAAGAUAUUCCGAAUUUUGACGAACCACUUUUGGAUCACUCUUAUCCAAGUAGUGAAGCUAGUGUAAAACAGUCUGAGACUGUGACUCCUUAUGAAAAAGCUGGUCUUUUAAGUUGUCUCACUUUCUCUUGGCUAUCUCCUUUAUUUUUGUUAGGGUUCGAGAAAAAAACCUUAGACCUUGAUGAUAUCCCUCAAUUAGGUGCUUACAAUAGUGUAUUUGGUGCAUUCCCAGUGUUCCAAUCAAAGCUUCUUAAGUCAUCGUCAUUUGAUGAUAAGCACAGUGUUGGUGCUAGCAGUCAUAGGAGUUGUAGAGUUACUCAGUGUGGGCUUGCAAAGGCAUGUUUCAUUUCAGCUUGGAAGGAAAUUAUUUGGACAGCAGUCUUGGCAUUAAUCGAUACCCUAGCUCGGUUUGUUUCUCCAUAUCUCAUUGAUAGUUUUGUUCAAUGCCUUAAUGGGAGGGAGGAAUACAAAUAUCAAGGUUAUGUUCUUGCGUUCAUCUUUUGUGCUGCGACUUUCCUUGAGGUUUUCAUACGUAGGCACUGGGUCUUUAAAAUGCAACAAGUUGGAAUUAGGCUUCGUGCAGUAAUCACUGUAAUGCUGUAUAAUAAGACUUUGACUCUCCCCUCUUAUUCAACAUCACAAUUAGAAGGAAGUCAGGCUAGUAGUGCUAGUGGAGGAGAACUUAUCAAUGCUGUUGCUGUUGAUGCUGAGACGAUCAAGGCUUUUGCGGUUUAUAUGCAUGAUACAUGGUUGAUCUUUGUGCAAAUAGUUUUAGCCUUGCUAAUAUUAAACAAGAAUUUGGGACUUCUUGCUACUUUUGGUGCUUUUCUAGUGACAUUUAGUUUUAUGUUAUCAAACUCCUUUUUUAUCAAAUGGCAAGAGAAGUUUCAAAAAAAACUGAUGGAAUCCAAGGACAAUAGAAUGAAGGUUACUAUGGAGACUUUAAAAAAUAUGAGGGUUCUUAAGUUUCAGGGUUGGGAAAUGAGUUUUUUGUCUAAGAUUCUUAAUCUCAGAAAUGUGGAGUUACAAUGGCUGAAAAAAUAUCUUUAUAGUUGGGUGCUGUUGGGUUUUUUCUAUGGGGUAGGUCCGACUUUUGUGGCUUUGGUCACCUUUGGUUCCUGUAUUUAUAUGGGAUCACCACUUGAACUGGGAAAGAUUUUAACUGCACUUGCUACCUUUCGGGUGCUUCAAGAGCCAAUCUUCCUACUUCCUGACACAAUUUCCUUGCUAAUCCAAGCUAAGGUUUCCUUUGGGAGAAUUGCCUCACAUCUUUCCCUUGACGAGCUCCAUGAUGAUGGGUUAGAGAAGCUACCAUUUUGUAAUUCUUAUCCAGCAGUUGAGAUUGUUGAUGGGAACUUCACUUGGGAUCAUAUUUCUUCAUCUGCCGUGGCAACACUAAAAAACAUAAAUCUGAAAAUUUCUCAUGGCAUGAAGGUUGGCAUUUGUGGGACACUUGGUUCGGGCAAGUCGAGCUUACUUUCUUGCAUUCUUGGUGAAAUGCCUAGGAUCUCAGGGGUAGUCAAGCUGUGUGGGACCAAGGCUUAUGUUUCUCAGUCACCUUGGAUACAAAGUGGAACAAUUAAAGAGAACAUACUAUUUGGAAAAGGAAUGGACUCAAUAAGAUAUGAGCAAGUCCUUGAAGCUUGUUGUCUCAAGAAGGACUUGGAAAUUCUCUCAUUUGGUGAUCAAACUGUUAUUGGUGAAAGAGGUAUCAACUUAAGUGGUGGACAAAAGCAGAGAAUACAAAUAGCACGUGCGCUCUACCACGAUGUGGAUAUCUAUAUCUUUGAUGACCCAUUUAGUGCUGUUGAUGCUCAUACGGGCUCUCAUUUAUUUAAGGAAGUCUUGCUUGGUUUUCUGAGCGGAAAGACUGUUAUUUAUGUUACUCAUCAAGUUGAGUUCGUAAAUGCUGCUGAUGUGAUUGUGGUCAUGAAUAACGGAGAGAUUGCACAAAUUGGAAAGUAUAAUGACAUUCUCGUUCCGGGGUCUGCUUUUAUACAACUUGUGGGUGCACAAAAUGCUGCUCUCUGUACACUUGAUUCCAACAAGGGGAAACCAGUAAGUGAUGAAAGUCCACAACAUGUUGAAGAUAGUUACAAUAAGAGCAAAUCCUUUGUAAAUGGUGAAGCAGACAAUGAGGGGGUUAUUGGUUUGCCACCUGCAGCACAACUUGUGAAAGAAGAAGAAAGAGAGAAAGGUAGUGUUGGGUUUUCAGUGUAUUGGAAAUACAUCACAACUGCAUAUGGAGGAGCAUUGAUACUUCUAUUAAUUCUGGCCAAUAUACUCCUGCAAAUUCUUCAAAUAGGGAGUACCUAUUGGUUGGCUUGGGCUGCUCCUUCAUCAAAGAAUGACGAAUCUGUUAGUGGAUCUACACUAAUGAUAGUUUAUGGAUCUUUGGCUAUUGGUAUAUGUGUCUGCACUGUUAUUGUAAACAUGCUUGUUCUAGCUACAGGAUACAAUACUGCCACCAAUUUUUUCAGAAAAAUGCUUCAGAGCAUUUUCCAUGCUCCAAUGUCAUUUUUCGAUGCAACACCUACUGGAAGAAUACUCAAUAGAUGCUCAACAGAUCAAAGUACUUUGGAGACUCGAAUUGCGCCCUUGCUUGGUAGCCUUAUUUUCGCCACCAUCCAACUUCUGGGAAUCAUUAUUUUGAUGUCUACAGUGGCUUGGGAAGUUUUGGUCAUUUUCAUUCCACUGAUUAUAGCCUCUAUUUGGUAUCAGCAAUAUUAUAUGCCUUUAUCAAGAGAACUAUCACGAUUGAGUAGUAUAUGUGAAGCUCCGGUUAUUCAAUAUUUUUCUGAAACCAUUUCGGGAAUGACAACUAUUAGGAGCUUUGAUCAUGAAUCAAGAUUCCAGCCUACAUAUAUGAAAAUCGUUGAUGCAUACUCUCGUCCUGAAUUUCAUAAUGCUGCCGCAAUGAAAUGGUUAUUAUUACGUCUGGAUGUAGUCUCCUGUAUUACAUUUGCCUUCCUUUUGGUUUUAUCUAUACAUUUUGCAGAACAAAUAGAUCCUGCAAUCGCGGGCUUAGCUGUGACAUAUGGGCUCACGCUAAAUGGUAUAUUAUCUGGGUUGAUAUGGUGUUUAUGCCAUUGUGAAAACAAAAUGAUAUCAGUGGAGAGGAUUCUUCAGUAUAUGUCAAUUCCGAGUGAGGCUCCUCUUAUAAUACAAGGAAACAGGCCAGACAAUUCUUGGCCAUCACAUGGGGAAAUCUGUUUUAAUAAUUUGCAGGUUCGAUAUGCUCCACAUUUGCCACUCGUUCUACACAAUAUAACAUGUACUUUUCCAGGAGGGGUGAAAAAUGGUAUUGUCGGAAGAACAGGCAGCGGUAAAUCAACUUUGAUACAAGCACUUUUUCGGAUUGUUGAACCAACAGCUGGACGCAUCCUGAUUGAUGGCCUUGAUAUUUCAUCAUUUGGACUCCAAGAUUUACGGUCGAGACUAAGCAUUAUUCCUCAGGAUCCAACCAUGUUUCAGGGAACUAUCCGAAGCAAUUUGGACCCACUAGAGCAAUAUACAGAUGAUCAAAUUUGGGAUGCUCUUGAUAAGUGUCAACUUGGAGAUCAAGUUCGGAAAAUGCAUAAAAAGUUGGAUUCCCCUGUGAAUGAAAAUGGGGAGAAUUGGAGCAUGGGUCAGAGACAAUUAGUUUGUCUUGGGCGUGUACUCCUCAAGAAAAGCAAAGUGUUGGUCCUUGAUGAAGCUACUGCCUCUGUUGACACAGCCACUGAUAAUCUUAUCCAACAAACUCUUAAACAUCACUUUUCUCAUUGUACCCUCAUUAUAAUUGCACAUCGUAUCACUUCUGUUCUUGACAGUGACAUGGUCUUGCUUCUCAGUGAAGGGCGCAUCCAGGAAUAUGAUUCUCGAACGAGGUUGUUGCAAAAUGAGUCAUCCUUUUUUUCAUGGCUUGUAUCAGAGUACACAACAAGGUCCUCAUCAAAAUGAGAUUCUCAGCACCCACAUCCAGGAAGAAGUGACUGAAGAAUGCAACAGACAACCGAUCAAAGGAAGCAAUCAGCUAUAAAUUGUGUGUGAUCCUCGAACAAUGUUUUAGCUACGUGCCUACGUCCAUAGGGCAAAAGGAGAACAUAAUUUAUUGAUGUUUUGAAGAAUACAUAAUAAAAUAUAUGGAAUAAGAGGCUAGGUGAAAUAUCGAGAUUUAUAUAGUACCUUGACUAACUCAAUGGAACCCGCGUAAGUGUCAACUUUGUGAUUGAAUCGGGAAGAUGGAGAGAAAGUCGAUGUCCAAUGGCUAAUUGGCUAUCCUAUACUCCUUGCUUCUCAACGAGUUGCAAAGCAUCCAUCUCGGAGGGCUAAAAUGAUCCAAUCUUACAUGUUUGAUCGUUCCUCUUGAGUUUGCUACAAAAGAAGUUAUAAGUCUUUAUGCUCAUUUGUGAGACUGUUAAAUGUAGUAGGUAAUAGGAUUUUCUUGGUUGAAUUUAUCAACUAUGUAAAUCCACUUUCUUUUUUAAAAAUGUUUUUGGUUAAGGAUUUGUUAAACGUCUAAAGGAUUGCAAAUAAGGACCGUCUAAGCUA